UACGUAGGGUGCGAGCGUUGUUCGGAUUCAUUGGGCGUAAAGGGUGCGUAGGCGGCGCGGUAAGUCGGGUGUGAAAUCUCGGGGCUUAACUCCGAAACUGCAUUCGAUACUGCCGUGCUUGAGGACUGGAGAGGAGACUGGAAUUUACGGUGUAGCGGUGAAAUGCGUAGAUAUCGUAAGGGAGACCAGUGGCGAAGGCGGGUCUCUGGACAGUUCCUGACGCUGAGGCACGAAGGCCAGGGGAGCAAACGGG
RNAcentral lists this ribosomal RNA (253 nucleotides) under uncultured bacterium. RNAcentral describes it as "partial 16S ribosomal RNA". It matches the Rfam family "Bacterial small subunit ribosomal RNA", at positions 524 to 776 of the family's 1533-position model. The record is from RNAcentral.